GGAUCCAGACUUUGAUUCUGGCUCAGGAUGAACGCUAGCUACAGGCUUAACACAUGCAAGUCGAGGGGCAGCAUGUCGGUUGCUUGCAACCGACGAUGGCGACCGGCGCACGGGUGAGUAACGCGUAUCCAACCUACCCUUGUCCAUCGGAUAACCCGUCGAAAGGCGGCCUAACACGAUAUGCGGUUCACCGCAGGCAUCUAACGUGAACGAAAUGUGAAGGAGAAGGAUGGGGAUGCGUCUGAUUAGCUUGUUGGCGGGGUAACGGCCCACCAAGGCGACGAUCAGUAGGGGUUCUGAGAGGAAGGUCCCCCACAUUGGAACUGAGACACGGUCCAAACUCCUACGGGAGGCAGCAGUGAGGAAUAUUGGUCAAUGGACGAGAGUCUGAACCAGCCAAGUAGCGUGCAGGAUGACGGCCCUAUGGGUUGUAAACUGCUUUUAUAGGGGGAUAAAGUGUGCCACGUGUGGCAUAUUGCAGGUACCCUAUGAAUAAGGACCGGCUAAUUCCGUGCCAGCAGCCGCGGUAAUACGGAAGGUCAGGGCGUUAUCCGGAUUUAUUGGGUUUAAAGGGAGCGUAGGCCGUCUUAUAAGCGUGUUGUGAAAUGUCGGGGCUCAACCUGGGCAUUGCAGCGCGAACUGUGAGACUUGAGUGCGCAGGAAGUAGGCGGAAUUCGUCGUGUAGCGGUGAAAUGCUUAGAUAUGACGAAGAACUCCGAUUGCGAAGGCAGCCUGCUGUAGCGCAACUGACGCUGAAGCUCGAAAGCGUGGGUAUCGAACAGGAUUAGAUACCCUGGUAGUCCACGCGGUAAACGAUGGAUGCUCGCUGUUUGCGUCUGACGUAAGCGGCCAAGCGAAAGCGUUAAGCAUCCCACCUGGGGAGUACGCCGGCAACGGUGCAACUCAAAGGAAUUGACGG
RNAcentral lists this ribosomal RNA (919 nucleotides) under uncultured Bacteroidota bacterium. RNAcentral's name for it is "bacterial SSU rRNA". It matches the Rfam family "Bacterial small subunit ribosomal RNA", at positions 1 to 916 of the family's 1533-position model. The record is from RNAcentral. Lineage: Bacteria; Pseudomonadati; Bacteroidota.